Molecule: ribosomal RNA, 468 nt
Filed under: uncultured bacterium
Lineage: Bacteria
Description: partial 16S ribosomal RNA
Rfam family: Bacterial small subunit ribosomal RNA
Source: RNAcentral
GACGAACGCUGGCGGCGUGCUUAACACAUGCAAGUCGAACGGAAAGGCCCUGCUUUUGUGUGGUGCUCGCGUGGCGAACGGGUGAGUAACACGUGAGUCACCUGCCCUUGACUUUGGGAUAACUUCAGGAAACUGGGGCUAAUACAGGCUAGGAGCUCCUGCUGCAUGGUGGGGGUUGGAAAGUUUCGGCGGUUGGGGAUGGACUCGCGGCUUAUCAGCUUGUUGGUGGGGUAGUGGCUUACCAAGGCUUUAACGGGUAGCCGGCCUGAGAGGGUGACCGGCCACAUGGGGACUGAGAUACGGCCCAGACUGCUACGGGGGGGAGCAGUGGGGAAUAUUGCACAAUGGGCGGAAGCCUGAUGCAGCAACGCCGCGUGCGGGAUGACGGCCUUCGGGUUGUAAACCGCUUUCACCUGUGACGAAGCGUGAGUGACGGUAAUGGGUAAAGAAGCACCGGCUAACUACGUG